UACGGAGGGUGCAAACGUUGCUCGGAAUCAUUGGGCGUAAAGCGCACGUAGGCGGACUGUUAAGUCGGAUGUGAAAUCCCUCAGCUUAACUGAGGAAGUGCACUCGAAACUGGCAGUCUUGAAUAUGGAAGAGGGUCGCGGAAUUCCCGGUGUAGAGGUGAAAUUCGUAGAUAUCGGGAGGAACACCAGUGGCGAAGGCGGCGACCUGGGCCAAUAUUGACGCUGAGGUGCGAAAGCGUGGGGAGCAAACAGG
This 253-nucleotide ribosomal RNA is filed under the name uncultured bacterium. RNAcentral's name for it is "partial 16S ribosomal RNA". It matches the Rfam family "Bacterial small subunit ribosomal RNA", at positions 524 to 776 of the family's 1533-position model. The record is from RNAcentral.